This 342-nucleotide unclassified non-coding RNA is filed under the name soil metagenome. Its description in RNAcentral is "partial contains 5.8S ribosomal RNA, internal transcribed spacer 2, and large subunit ribosomal RNA". The stretch from base 1 to 120 matches the Rfam family "5.8S ribosomal RNA", at positions 35 to 154 of the family's 154-position model. The record is from RNAcentral.
GAUGAAGAGCGUAGCGAAAUGCGAUAAGUAGUGUGAAUUGCAGAAUUCAGUGAAUCAUCGAAUCUUUGAACGCACAUUGCGGCCAUAGGUAUUCCUUUGGCCAUGCCUGUUCGAGCGUCAUUUACACCCUCAAGCCUAGCUUGGUGUUGGGCGCCUGUCCCGCCGUUUUCGCGCGCGGACUCGCCUCAAAGUCAUUGGCGGCGGUCGUGCCGGCCCCCUCGCGCAGCACAUUUGCGCUUCUCGGAGGCCCGGCGGAUCCGCGCUCCAGCAAGACCUUUCACGACUUGACCUCGGAUCAGGUAGGGAUACCCGCUGAACUUAAGCAUAUCAAUAAGCGGAGGA